UGAGAUGGUGUCGGGCGGUGGCGUUGUUGGUGGUUCUUUACCACAUCUAUGGUGGUGGUGGCGGUAUACGGUGGUGGUGAUAGUCGUGUUAGCCGAUUUGCGAACUUGUUAAGCUUUGGUUAUUUGUGUCGAGCAGUGUUCGAACUGCUUAUUACUGUGGUCAUAGUAUCGUUCGGUUGUGUUGGUGAAACUUCGUCAGAUAAAGUUGCUAUUUUAUAUUUGAGUGAUAUUUGGAGUCGUUUUAUAUCUGCUGCCUGUAGCAUAUUUGAUAAUGGUUUUUGUGUUGCAAAGUGGAUUUUUUUUCUGUCACUAACUACUCCGUAGUGAUAUACCAUUGUAUCACUGCUUUCGUGAUCUAAACGCUCUUAUAGUACUUUACAGAGGGAGUGCUGAUGCUGAAACUUGGCUGUGCUGAAAAUUUAUUAUCAAACUCAGACAGAUAGUUGCAGCAGCUGCUUUAUUUUUCAAGGUUGCAUCUGAGAAAAUCUGCACUCCAAUCCCUGUCUGGCCAUAGCACGUCGAUGGUAUACAAUACUGACCUUUCAUACUUUAUUCAAGAGUACUCACUCUGUUCCUAAAUUUAAGCCUCUUUAUAGAUUUCAUUCACUACGGACUACACAUGGAGCAAAAUGAGUGAAUCUUACACUCUAAAGUAUGUCCGUAUAUACAUCUAUAUGUAGUCCGCAUCGAAAUCUAAGAAAUACUUAUAUUUAGGAACGUUGGCUUCAUCAAAAGAUUAGUGACAAGAAGAUGAGGAGAUUUUUUCUUAGUUAUACGUAUAUCUGUAGUCCCCAUAACAAAUUAUGAGUCAACAUUUUAAAAAUUAUGUUACUGGUAGUGUGUGUCUAAAAGGCACACCAAAUUAAGGGGGGAAAAGCAGAGAAGACACGUGAUUCAGAUAAUUACGGUAGAUGCAUGGUGAGAAAUUGACGAGAAUAAGACCAGAGGAAGAUGAAGCAAUCCAUGAAUAUGAGGGGGUUGUUGAGGCCAUCCACCGGGUCGGGAUGAAAACGGCCUCUUCUUCCUGCCGUAUGCCCCUGCCCCUGCUUCUGCAGCGGCGCUGGGUUUCGCUGCUGCCGCUGCCGUCGUCGAAGCUUUACGGUGGCCGUUGCCAUUGCCUGGCUUGUUCUUCGUUGGAGAGCUGACCACGGACAGAGCCGGCGGAGGCAUUCUUGGCAACAAUGAAUGACGUGGAGCGGCAGAGGCCGGCCCUGGGACUGGGAGAGCUUUUCUUUUGCUGCUGUUGCUAUUGGGGUCGAGCACGAAGUCCAUGUCCGCGGACCAAGACAGUGGUAGAUCUUGAUCUCAACACUAGGAUGCCACUGUUCAAAAAUUACAUUAUAUACUACUAUAAUUUGACCAAAACAUCACCAAUAAUAUCAACUAAUAGUCCCAAAAUAACAUCAACUUAUUAAUAAUUAGUGUUAAAUACAUAGUAAAAACUAGAUUCUGAAAGUAACAUAAGACUUUUUAGAUCAGUAAAGUAGCAGUGAUCUAAGAAGUACUUUACAGAGGGAGUAUUUUGCAUUAUUGUAGUCGGCCAUGAACGGUGUACUAGUUGCCUCCAUUGGUCUUGAUCCUACACGCAGUUUGGUAGUUGGACAACCUGAUGUCUGGCUGCGUCUCGCCCGUGUACUUGAUGUAGGUGACUCGAAAUCCUGGUGGAAAGACAACGUUGCGGAUGUGGGAGUCAAAUGCUUUUGGGCGCAUGCACACCAUUUUCGGGGGAGUCGUACGGUGGAAAUGGUUGAUGAUGCGUUAGUCGUCGUCAUCAUCGUCACGGUGAUCUUCGCAAAGGUUACUGUGGCCAACGUCACAAUCAUCUCUUCCCGUGCCACGACGACGAGCACAAUGCCUUGCCUCGAUGGUGUUCUACGUGUCGUGGUCCGGACUGAAGCUCUGUGUUGUCACACCGUAUUGCCUGGAGGGUGUUCCAUGCAUUACGGUUCGACCCAAGUCGACCAUGUAUUGGCAUGAGGGGCACGAGGCUCUGAGUCGGUGUAGUUACACUCUUUGGCGUGUUGGUUCCCAGAUGGGGAAGAAUGCCGGCCCCUGGUGCUCGUAGUGGAAGAUGCGCAGCCAUUGCUGAUUGCAACUUGCUUUUCUUAAGACAACACAAUGGCAUAUGCUCACAUACACGUACAUACACUUUCUAUGAACGCACUUUGAUUGAAACUUGCCGGCGAGUUUCUUUUGCAUCAUUUAUACCGUCUUACAUUUUCCUUUACAUCAGUUAGUUAUUUUUAGCAUAUAUUAUGCAUUUCUUUUAACAAGGUUUCCACAACAAUGCAAGGGGUAUUAUCUAGUUUCAAUAAUACUCGGAUAUGCCAUGAUACUCUAACAAAGAAUGCCGAAGAAGACACAAACAAAAUGAACACAGCUAUUGUUGUAUUGCCAUGGUCUAAUUUACACGAGUGUGUUGUGGUACUAUCACAUAAAACUACAAAAGUUCCUCUGCUUUCAGCCAUAGGUAAAAGAUGGCUUGAAGUACAUGCACAUCGGUGGGUCAAUCCUCAUGAUGGACAAUAUUGCAGACGGAACACUCCAGAUACCAUCACCGCAAAUCAAACCAGAAGCAACCGCACCCGCAAACUCCUCUGACUCCUUACGGUUCACCAUCUCCCAUACAAACAAGAUGACAGUCCCGAUAAAUAUGUCAAUCGCGAAGUAUGCCCCAAUGUAAAAUGAAACGGCCAUGGCCAUCAGGAGCGGGAUGAAUUUGGAUAGACCAUUUGGGGUGACAUCCCGGAUGAGCUUGAUUGCUAUGGCUCCAAAGAAGAAGAAAGAGCAUAUUGCAAGGCAAUGUCGCGGCAACACUGAGAAUCCUUCGACACCCAUGAUUGACAUCUCACGGAAGAUGAUGGCAUAUGGAGCUUUGAACAUACCAUCAGGAUUGCCAAUAUCGAAGGAUGUCCAGUAAAGCCAAAAGGUUAGAGGAGCAAUGACACAACCAAGGGCAGUGCCAAUCAACUGUGACACAAACAUGGACCUUGGUGAUGAGAGGGUCAGGUACCCAGUCUUGAAGUCAUGCAUGAGAUCACCAGCUGUGGAUACGAUGGACAUCAUAACACCACAAGCUGCUAAGCCGGCGAUCACACCACCAUGUUGGCCAACCCAUGAGGCAAAAAUGAAAAGGCCAAUCUUUCCAUAUGUGGAUGCAAGGUUCCAAUCUGUUAGUCCAGUUCCGUAUGAGUUGCAGAAGGCAAGUAGAGGAGCAACAACAUAGGCAAAGAGGACAAGGUACCACUUGAGUUGUGGGAAUAUCAUUGGCACUAUUGCAGUUGAAAUUGCUGCAAGGCCCACAUAACCAGAUCCUGCCAACCAGGGAGGGAUACUGUCUUUUAGAAACACCUCAUUUAGAAGCUUUUCCUUGACUGAUAAUUUGGAAUUUUUAUCAUCUGCAAUUAUAAAAGGGAAACAAGAUGAGAGCCAUGAUGUAUGAUAUGAUGGCAGGUCAACUAGGUACAAUAAGAAAAUGGCAUUACCAUCAUGAACCCGAACAAGGGGAAGUCUUCCUUGCUUUGAGCGUGCAUUCAUUAUUUCCUUGAUAGUAGCAUAAAUUAUUUUGAUGAGGUUAAAAGUACCAUCACCAAGUAUCAAGGAUACCGAUAUGAAAACCUGGAAGGGUGCAUUGACAACUUAGUUUUUGCUAAAUAUAAUGUUGGCGAAGACUGAGCAUUAAGUGAAUAAAGAAUACUUUAGAAAUUUAAUGAUAUAGAUGAGCCAUUUAUUUAUUCUUGAACUCAAUUUCAUGUUUCUCAUGAAUUACGACCACUAUGCCCACUAAAAUAAAUGCAUAAAAGAGAGUUAUCAGUAUUAUUCGCAUAUUUACAAGAACUACUUGCAAAUUUACUGGGUUCAUUCAAUAUGGAGGGAAACAAGAGAUUUUGGUCAAGCCUUGUAAAUAUUGAUUCAUAAUCUAGUUCUUUUUAUUAGAUCGGUUCACAACAUGGUAAAAGCUAUGUUGGUCAACAACCAUCACAAUUGAAUUGGCAAAAGGCAUAAUCAAGAGACAACAUGGUAUUGACUAAUAAUUCAUUAUGAGAUGGACAAUUAGAAUCCUUCACCACCAUACCUUGUACCCAUAGAGUCCUUUGAAGUCAUUGCUUCCAAGGUUAGCUGGGUACCACUCCCCCGCUUUUGUCGAUAUAUAUGGCCAAAGAAAACCCCAAGAUAUGAUGGCUCCAAGAAGUGCAGAGCAAUUAACUAUAUGUGGACAUAUAAGGCCACAUCCAAUAUAGGUUGGAUUGAAGUCAAAAUAAAACCUAUAAAAAGUAGAAACUGUUCAUAUAUAAUGCAUAUGAUAUUCCAGCUUAAAGGAUAUUAAUUUCAUAUAAUAAUCCAUGCAUGUCCAAAUUAUCCCUAAUAAAUUAUAAGGAAGGCAAAUUUUGUUUCGAUUUGAAAAAUAAAAUGAUUUGUUUUUUAAUUGCAAAAUGCAUGCUUUGAAAUUUUAGCACGCUCAUAAUAGCAGUUAGCUUACAUGUUCUUAAAUGCUGCAAGGCCCAGAGAAGGGAAGUUGUCGAAGCCACAAGAAUCCCCGGCACCGCUGAAGAACCAUUUAAAGCAGUUCCAAAGGAAACUUAUGCUUAAAUACUUUCCGAGACAACUAACUUGUUUUCUGCAGGCAUGAGAAUAAAGUUAGUACCACCAAAACUCAAGAAAUGCAGUAACCCAAGAAUAUGUAGUCAACAAUCAAAUCGAUACAGAGACAUCAAAGUUCAUCCCAAGUAAACAAAUAGAUAAUCCAUGAUUUUAAGUAAGAACUGAUAAACUAGCUAUUUUAUAUCUAUCAUAAGAUUCNNNNNNNNNNNNNNNNNNNNNNNNNNNNNNNNNNNNNNNNNNNNNNNNNNNNNNNNNNNNNNNNNNNNNNNNNNNNNNNNNNNNNNNNNNNNNNNNNNNNNNNNNNNNNNNNNNNNNNNNNNNNNNNNNNNNNNNNNNNNNNNNNNNNNNNNNNNNNNNNNNNNNNNNNNNNNNNNNNNNNNNNNNNNNNNNNNNNNNNNNNNNNNNNNNNNNNNNNNNNNNNNNNNNNNNNNNNNNNNNNNNNNNNNNNNNNNNNNNNNNNNNNNNNNNNNNNNNNNNNNNNNNNNNNNNNNNNNNNNNNNNNNNNNNNNNNNNNNUAGAGAGAUAAGAUUGUAGAAUUCGUAGCCUCCAUUCAUUACAAACUAAUUGCGAGCUGAAUAGAUCAGUAAAGCUUUAUUAUUGUUGAAUUACCUAAAAUAUAUUUGUUCUCUCAUGUACAUGCUACUUAAUUGACCAAUAAACAAUCUAUAACGAGAAUUGGUCGAUAAAUGGGUAGAAGGCUAAUGUGCAACUUCAUUGGACUAUUAAGGGAUUUUGGCAACCAUCAGUGUUUAACACUUGGAAAAAGGUCAAAUGGAAGACAAUAAGCUUUAAAUAACUUAAUAGUCACUAACAGUUAGGAGACAGUAUUUAAAAUGCUUAAGUCAUGGGGACCCAUAGUAAACUUUGAUAACCUGAUAUAAGCCGUAAAAGUACCAUAGGUCGAUACAAACCACUCUUUCGAUUACUUAUUUAUAAAUUACUAAUUGUGCAAUUGCGCAGCACUUUAUCAUACAAAAUAUAUAUUCAUCCAAUCAUCGGACAAGAAGCAUCAGAGAGUCAAUAAUAACUGUCCCUCCAAAGUACAGAUAACUUAUCAGUAUGCACAAAAUUAAGGAUCAAUGAUGAUCUGUUUCUUACUCUACUAACUCAUCUCCGGUAGAAGUGUGGACGCUGUUUAUGAACAUAGCUGUGGCAGUUCCUCUGGGAUAGGUUAGCUUAUAGUUUAUCACCAUCGCCUAGCAAACACCAAACUGAACUUAGUUUACCGAAUUUGCAAAAUGUUGUCCUAGUUGCUGCACUUGAUUACAAAAAUGUAAAUGCGAUUAGAUAAAGAUGAAAGAUGCACACACAUCUAAGAUGUGGAUGAUUACCUUGCGCAGGGCAACGAGACAAAAAAUACCAAUGAAGCUAACUACAAACAUAAACCCAAUCAUCCAACUUAGCGAGGGAUUCUUCACAUCCACUGCCCUGUUACCAGGAUAAUCAGUCCCAAGAAGCUCGUAAGUUUUUUGAUCCAUUGCAAGCAUAUAUGAUCCGAGGGAAAGUAUCACAUGAUACCAGCCUUUACAUGAUACCAUGAUACUAACUUGCAAAACUCAAAUUUAAACAUGUCAAAAAAUUCUGAAAAAAAUCAUGAAUUCUCACAACACAUAUGUUGACAACCCCUAAAAAAUUCAGAUCGAAAAUCGAAAUACACAAGGAGAAACAAAAAAGACAAAUCCAUCAUAAAUAGUGUCAAAAGAAGACAAAAGCAAAAAUCACACUAUUCACAUUUGGAUUUGUCUUUUUUGUUUCUCCUUAUAUAUUUCGAAUUUUGAUCUAUCUUUUUAGGAGUUGUAGACAUAUGUGUUAUGAACAUCCAUGAUUUUUAUCAGAAUUUUUUGACAUGUUUAAAUUUGAAUUUUUUAACUUGGUAUCAUGGUAUCAUGUAAAGGCUGGUAUCAUGUGAUACUUUCCCUAUGAUCCGAAUCCUCCUGCACAAAUGGAAACAUUGAUUGAUAAUGUGAACUAUGUGAAAAGGGGGAAGCCCAUCGUCAUCAAUUUUUCUGCCACUCCCAAAAAACACCAAAAUCAGAUACGUACGCUGCAAAGUUAAACAUUUGUUCUAAGAAAUGCAAUUGUAAAAACCAACUGCUAGUGUAAAAAACGCUCUUAUAUUAUGGGACGGAGGGAGUAAUAACUUCCUUUAAUACAAAAAAAACAGUAAAACCAAACCUAAUCUUUCUCCAAUACCUAGCAAUGUUCCACCCAAAUCAAACACCGUUUAGGUCCCCACCCAAAAAUAAUAUACACACAAGCAACGGCCACACGUACUUAAUUAGCAGAAAUCAGCUUCAGAAGUCCACAUGAAGGCUGUUUUGAGUCAAGGAUCAUAUCAAAGCAAAAUGCAAACAUACCGCUGGUGGCGAGGCCGUAGCAGGCGACGACGCAGGUCUGGAUGACGGUGUUCUCCUGCUUCGUGAAGGGCUUGGAGACAACGCCGAACAUGUCCAGCGCCGCAGUCCAGGUCCGCACGAGGAAGUAGGCGAGCAGGCCCGCGGCGACGUUGAGCGAAGGAAUGAUCCCCACCGUGAGGUUGAGCUUGUGUGUGAUGAGGCAGAAGAGCACCCCCAGGAUGGCGCUCACCACCACACCCCGGACCGUCAGCUGCUCCCGCCACGGCGGCACCGCCUCCACCGCCGACGGCACGCCGGCAAGGAGGGGCCCGGUCAUCUCCGCCGCAUCCGCCUCCGAUCCCAUCUCUUGCGAACGCUAGUAUCAAAGCCAAUGCCUCCCUUCGCCUCAGACUUUGGGUGCUGGUAGACGAGGUCAAGGUGAGGAUGAAUGAAUUGGCGUGGAGGACUAGGUAUUUAAAGGGCGUAAACUGAAGCUUAAUUAGUACUCCCUCCCUUUCGAAAAACAUGUCGCGAGGGCAAUUUUUCAAAAAAACCCUCCAAUUUCUCCCGACCAAACCCGCACUCCUCGUCAUCCUCCUCCGACAGAAUCCCCAGCUGCGCUGCUCCCCGCCGCCGUCGCUUCCCCGCUCCCCCGCCGCAGCAGCCCUGCUCCCCGCCGCGGCGGCCCUCGCCGCAGCUGCCCUGCUCCCCCGCUCCCUCGCCGCAGCUGCCUCCUGCUCCGCCGCCGCAGCUGCCGCUCGCUGCCUCCCCAAGCUCCCCCCUUCCUCAUAAAAAUCUUCGAUUUCCGCCGCGCUGAUGGGCCCGACGACGAGGCGUCGCGGCUGGCGUUGUAGGCGUCGGGCGCGGCGGACCCAGGCGCUGCGGCGGGGCGGCUUCGGCCUGGAGUGCGGGCGCUACUGCAACGGCGAACCGGAGGAGAGGCUCCGGCAGUGGAGCCAGGCAUGGCUUGACGUCGCCAAGAAAAUCUCACCGCCUUCCCUUUCUUAUUUCACACGCGCCAUAACACUGGCGACGGAGCUUUGACCUCGCCUCGUCGGAGGAUAGUCCCCUCACCGUCCUUCCUCUCCUAAAAGCGCCCUAAUCCCGGGCGGAGAGUACCUCAGCCGGUGCCCGGCGCGCCUCUCCAUUUCCUUCUCUUGUUCGCUCCGUGCCGGCUGCGGGCGAGACCUCACAGCGAUGUCGUCGGCGGCGGGGACACCAUCGGACGGCGGAGGGGAUAGGCCGUGGCAGUCAUACCACACCGCCUACACCAACGCCAAAGCUGGUAAAACUGCAUUCCCCUCUUUCCUGGCUUAAGAUUGCGCCGGUAUGGUUUGAGCACUGGUAUUUAUUCUCUUAUCACGUUGCAUUAGGAAUGGAGGGAGUUGACAAAGAGAAGGUGCAGAAGGUGAUCUAUGAAAUGAGCAAGGGUUUCGAAAAUGAGCAGAAGGAGGCGAUUACCAAACUUAAAAUCGAGCAUCUGCACACACAGUGUGCAAAGUUAACUGAUAAUGACAUAUCACAUUUUCAGAAGGUUCGAGGCAGCAAUUUUCUGAACAAUUGAUCAUAAACAUCUGUACUGCCCUGUUAUUAUGCCCCAACAUCUGUGUAUUUAUGCUUGUUCCCCCCAACCUAGUUGAUGAACAAUUCAUCAUAAACCUCAACUAAAAUACAGCAUGCUGUUUGUUUCUCCAGCAUCUCCAAGUCCUACAGCCUGGGUCAUCUCUGUCACCAACACAUACAACCUGGGUAUGAACCACUUACUGAAUUUACUGAAUCUUCUCUACUUCAUCUUUACUGAAUUUACUGAAUGUGCGUAUUCUCUGAACCACUUAUUCUCUAUCUACUGAAUUUUGGAGUAUACUCUUUGCAGUUGUUUCUGAGGAUAACUGUUUAUUGCCUGAAAGAUAACACAUAACUGAUCAAACAUCUUGUAGGAGUAAUUAACUAGCUAUGUUACUCAAGGAAACCUUCCUCAGAUUAACUUGUUUAUUUGCAGUACUUCUCUCUGUCUCUAGAACAAUUAUUUAAACUGGAAAAGAGGAGGCAAGAGGGACCAUGUCUAGCUGAUGUCUGAGAGCCUAAAACUUGCUUAUGCAGUAAAUUGCCCAAGUUAGCUGUAAUACAUUCAUCUUACUGCAAACAAGAGUAUGAAUGUCUGAAAUGGUACCUUAUGGUGCUCCCUUCGUUCAGAAAAAUGGACGUCCGAAGAUGCAUGCACUCACCUUUUUGAAACUUUGAUCAUAUGGAAAACGAUAUGCUGAAUGAAAAUAUCAACAGUGGUUUUACCAGCCAUAAUUAUUCCUAGUUAUAUUUUGAAUUUGGCUUCUGUAGCAUGCUGUGAUUGAAAACUGUAGUUUAAAAUUUCAAAUUGUAGACCAUGAAAAGGAGGAACUAGGUAGCACUUGAUCCAAAGGUCCUGACGUAGGUGUUGUGUGCUGAAACAUGUUUCGAACUAGAGCAUUUUCAGUGAACUAGUCUCAGCUUGAAAUUUGGUUCAGUUAACUCCAUACAAGGGUCUCUUUUUGGUUUAGUAGUGAUUAGAAGAUCAUGUACUGAUGAUAUGAGAUUAGCAAAGGCCUUGCUUGUCACUAACCUUCAAAGUAUACUGAUUGUGACAUUAGCAUGCCUCAUUGAAAUAAAUCAAAAUAUUUUAAAUUAAUUCAAAUAACUAAAAUUAAUCCAAAUCAAUUCAAAUAAUUCAAAUAAAUCCAAAUAACCCAAACUAAUUCAAGUAAUCCAAAUUAAUCCAGUUAAUUCAAAUAACCCAGAUAAUUCAAUUAAUCCAAAUAACCCAGAUAAUUCCAAUAAAUUCCAACAAGGAGUUGAUAUACAAGGAUUAGACAAGGCGUACACAAGGGCAUGACAUAAGGGCAUCUUUGUCCCCUCUUGACACAAGAUUACACAAGACAUACACAAGGAGCACCUGACUACAUGACAUAAGGGCCUCUUUGCCCCCUCUUGACUACAUUCUUUCUCUGGCCACUUCUUCCCUUUCCUUUCCUUUACUUUUCUUUCUUUUCCCUUCUUUAGCCAAUUCUUUCCUUUCAUUUUCUUUUCCUAUUGCAAUUUCCAUUUCUUCUAUAAUGGCCCUAGUAUCAACAACUACCCGACUGUCGCAAUAUACACUGAUGAUUUCCCUGCCAGCAUUCUGAAUGCGAUCCUUGUGCAAGUGGGGCAACUUAUAUUGAUUUCCUCCUUUGUCUUUCAUAACUUCAAACAUAACUGCUUCUAAUGUGAUAAAGCUUCUGUGCAACUUGUCGGGAUCGUAGUUCUCGAAUUCCUCUUCCACACCCUGUACCAGUUCCUGGAUGUUUGUAGGUGACCUGCAGUCGGUUAGAGACUGGAGAGAGGUAAGGAAGCAGAGGUCCAAACAAUUUAACUCAGGGCUAUUUGGGGGCUGUUGUAGCAAUCGGAUGUCAAGAUCAGUUUGUUCCACAGCUUCUCGAAAAGCUACAUCAUUGGGAAGGACAUGGGGCUUUGCAUUAUCCUGUUGGAUGAAUAUUGUUGCUCCCUCGUCAUCGUCAGGCCACUUAUCCUGAAUUGUCGGGAUAACCUUAUUGAUUAGAUAAUCUCUGCACACAGGCCUAGUUACUUUCACUGAUGUCAACACUUUUGUUCCCUUUGUUCUGUUAUGACUUGUCCGCUUCGCCUCAGUCUCUUCAACGAAUGCCCAAAUGCCAAUCUUCCCGUCGAAUGUUAGCUCCCCCUCAUUGUUAUAUCGAGGCCUGGCAACAGCUGUUAGGAACAUCACCUUCCCAAUGCUGUGAGUGUUUGACACGGUGCGCUUCGGCUCAGGUUCUCCUGGAAGUACAUAGUAACUAUUCUUCACUCUCGUCAUGUCAAACCACUUCUCAUCGAUGUGAACCAUAUUCGUCAUUGGUUUAAACAUAGCCCGAGAAGUUGAGAUUGAAUUGUCAUCGACCAUGGACAUACAAAAUUUCAAUCUCGCAAGCUUGUUCUCUAGCUUGAGGUGAGGCUUCACGGUGCUUGUGAUGCGGUUGAGCUCAUUCAACUGGAACCUCUUAUGUAGGGUCGAUCGGGCCACACCUAGAGACCGUGCCAGAGAUCGAAUUGUCCUUCUUUUAUUUAGUGGGAUUGUUGAGGUCCUCUCUAGAUCCAUCUCCUUUCUCUUUCGGCCAGAUCUUCCUGGCUUCUUGCUUGAGACAUCUACUUCUUUGCCAUCGGCAAUUUGCUUUUUGGCUUCUUCCCAGAUUCUUUCAACAGAUCGUACACUUAUGUCCAACAGGUUUGAGACUAGCAGCUUGUCGCUGGUUGAACAGACCCAUCUCUGAGCUCGAUUACCAGCAAAGCGAAGUAAACACCAUGCCUCUCCUUAUCUGACAAUUCUCUUCUCUUCUCUUGAAGUAUCCAAUUCAUAACUUCAUCCUCUUCCUCUUGAGCUUCGUCCUCUUUCCCUUCAUCUUCUGGAGGCAUCCAAUUCAUAGCUUCAUCGUCUUCCUAUUGAGGCAUCAAGUUCAAAUCCAUAGUUCCAUUCUCUGCCACUUGAGGUUCCUCCUAUUCAGGGAUCCAAUUCAAAUUAAUACCUUCAUCGUCUUCCUCUUGAGGCAUCAAGUUCAAAUCAAUAGUUUCAUGUUCUUCCUUUUGAGGCAUCAAGUUCAAAUCCAUAGUAUGUUUCCUGCCAUCAAUGACAAAAGAUGAGUACACCAUGGUACCAUAACAAGAAUAUACACACACAAAAUGAGUAUGCAAGUCAAACAAGAAAUAGGUGCCAUGGCACCAUUUCUAGUUUGGUUGCCACGGUAGCCAAACAAGAAAUGCUGCCAUGGCAGCCAAACACUUUGCUCUAACCAUAAGCCAUUUUCUCUAGUUAGAGUAGUUAACAGAAUUUUACUCUAGUUAGAGUAGUUUUGCUGAAUUUUACUUGCUCAUAGUACCAUGCCUAUGGUAGAAAAGUGUCAAGAAAAAUAUACUCCUGUCAAUAGAAUCAAAACUGAUUUAUUACCUUUGCAUAUAAACUACUCCUAGUGAAUUAGCAUCAAUAAUUGUAGUUUAACUGAAUUUUACAAAAUCUGACCAAAUGUGUAGUUAGUCAGUGAGCUACAGAUCAUUUGCACUUGACAAUGUUUGUGACCAUUUGCUUUUACAAAAUCUGAACCAAUGUGGCUCUACAAAUCAUAGCAGGAAGUACUUUGGCUCUAUUGAAAAUUGUUUGAAACAGGAAAAUGGAUCAUAAUUGUUUUGAAUUUUGUUGGACUCUUGUUGACCAGAUUUACCAAGUGUUAAUGUUCAGUUUUCAAUUUACUGGAAACUUUAGACUUGCUGUUAGUGGAUCAGAACAUGCUGUUAGCAACUCUAAAUUUACUCAAGGCCUUGGUAUUAAUGCAUGUUUAACUGAAUUUACUCAAGUCCUUUGUUUAACUGAAUUUCCCUUUUGUUUACACACAGUUACAAUAGUUUAACUGAAAUUUAACCCUGCAUCAGCACAUUAAGCAAGCAACAUCAGCAGAUUAAGCAAGCGAGCAACAUCAACAGAUCAGCAAAUUAAGCAAGCAAGCAACAUCAGCAUAUCAGCAAAUUAAGCAAGCAACACAAGUACUCCAUGAUCAGCAGUAGUUUCUUUAAUAAUUUUCAGUUAACAACCAUCAUGAUUCUGUUCACAAUGAUCAGCAGCAUUUUCUGUAUAAUGAAUGUACUCCAUGAAUUUUAAGUUAACAACUGAAUUUACUCCAUGAUUGGCAUUGUCAUGAUUCAGUUAACAGUAAACCAUUUCACUAACUUUCAGGUAGCAGUAUUCUGAUGGACUACCUUCUUCAGAGUGCAGACGAGCACAACACGGCUUCACUUGGGUCAGCAACAGCAGCAUAGGCAGAGGAAGAUCAGGUUCGACGCAGAGGAACCCACGAGCAGAAGAUCAGGUGCGAUGCACAGGUUCAAUUCAACCCAGCUGUGCGCUUGGGUUCAGGUUCAGGUUCUCCCACAGUGCAGAAGAUCAGCAGCAGCACCACGACAGAGGAGCAAUAGCAGCAGCACGCAUAGCUCCACCUGUGACAGGGGAGAAGCAGCUGCGCGGGCGCGCGGGCGCGCGGGCAAGCGAGAAGGAGCAGCACGGCGACACGCGGGAGCUCGAGGAGGACUCACGGGAGAUAGAGGAGGACGAGCGUGAGCUCCUGGUCCAUCGAAUCGUGGAGGCUGGUUCCAACGACGGUCGUAGGGGAUCGUAGCUGGAAGGAUCGCGGCGGCGCACGCGUGGGAGCUCAAGAAGGAGACGCGGGAGCUCGAGGAGGAUGCACGGGAUCUCGAGGAGGACGAGCAGGAGCUCCUGGUCCACCGGAUGGUGCUGGGAAGUUCUGGCGACGCCGCAGGUAAUCGCAGCGGGAGGAGAUCGCGGCGGCACAGGAUUGGGCGACGACGGCGGUACUUGGCGACGGCGGCGGCAGCAGAUCACUUCCUGGUGGGCGACGAAUCGCGCAGCUGGGCGGCCCCGGCCCUUGGCGACACGCGCACGACGGCGGAGGAAGAAGACGAUGGCGGAGGGACUUGUUUGAGAUGGUUUUGAAACUGUGAGGUCUUUUUUGCAAAAGUACCAGUGAACUAGGCGUGCGACAUGUUUUUCGGGACGGAGGGAGUACACAAGUACGUAUGGUGGCUUUAGUAUGUUCAUCAGUUCAUGCAUGCACACUAUGACACGCGUACUCCUAUCAUGCAGACACGUAGCAGGCCAGCACGGUCAUUAUCUUGGCAGAGGACCGGGACAGGAGGAGCAGCGUGAAUCAUGCUUGUGCUAGUAACACGCGGGUAGUGCUAUCCGGCCACUCGAUCGCUAUCUAGGUAACGGUGGCCACACAUUUCUACUGCUUACGUGCUAAUUUGAUUGCCAUCCUUAAGCAAGCGUUAACUAUAUCUGAUGGGGCCGUAUCUAAUGAUGGCCACGAAGUACAGUCUCUGGAACCAUCCCUACGGCAGGAUUAUGUACGGUGGGACUGGAUGUAAUGGUAACCACAAAUCAUGCCAUGCAUUAGGAAUUAAGUAUUUUUUUUCUCUUAGGAAGGAAGGAACGUGCAUGUUGUAGUAUUUGAUUUGGCCAUGCCAUCGAUGCGAGCAAGGUAGGAGGGCUAGCUGUGCAUACGCACAGUUUGAACGUUCAGGCUGAUGCUGAUGUCACAUGUCAUCGUUUGAUGUCGAAAUAAACUAUAGAAAGUUGUGCAUCUCAUGGCAAUUCAGAAAUUUUAAUGGUUUAACUAAACAAAGAUAAAUUGGCAUGUCCAUGGAAAAUGGAGUGCCCUUUUGUUCAUUUAUAUUUAUACGUUAUGUGCACUAGAAGCUUAGGGCACGCUUCGUGGCGCCGUGAAGGCUUUUAGGGCCUCGCAACUCGCUUUUCGCUGUUUAUUUUUGUCAUUGUGGUUAUCUCGCUGGAAUAUGUUCUCAUGAUGGCCUACUAACAAUUAUAAUUAAGUUUGUUGGUGUUGGCGCAGUAUGCCAAAGUCAAUAAAUGUAUAUUUUUGCGAGGUUAAUGUGAUUAUAACAGUGAAAUUUAAUGUAAUUUAUGUUUCACAUAUGAAGGUUUCUCGUGUAUUUGAUAUUCUAUACAAUCAUUUUUAGGAAUCACCAUAGUGGUGGCUUGUUUGGCGGAGAGUCCAUGGAUUUGAAAUUUUAGACAAGUUGCAUAGAGAAAGUCUGUUGACGGAGGGAUAGAGAAGGUGAGUGAUUUGUUGGGAAGAAUUAAUACUAUCUUGAACACACGAAUAACUAGCAUUAUCGAAAGAUAUUUGUGCCCUCUAAAAAGAUAUUUGUACACUUGCCGAAAUUGUUGCUACAGGACCCUUUGUAUUAGCAACUAAUGUACACGACUAUAUCAGCCUAGCUGUCCCUUGCUCCACCGAUGAGUUCGCCCGUGUAUUUGUCAUUUGAACUGCGCCACCAUUUGCCCCGUCAAUUGGUGAACUACUUGCGUCUGUAGUAAUUUUAUUUGGGGUUCUUGUGCCUCUCCUAGCCUUUUCAGCCCAGUUGACAAGGCCUUCGGUCACAUUGUCAUCAAAUAUAGUCUUCUUGAAAGAAUUCCCCAUCUAUACCAAUGAUGAGACAAAAUUAGAAUAAAAUGAUAGAUAAGAAUAUUUGUUUGAUCAUGACAAUAAAGCCAUUAAAAUUGUAUCAAUUUGUGAAAACAAGCUUUGUAUUCAUCAAGAAUGGAUACUCAUAGGUAUAGUUCAAGUUGAAAAUCAUUAUAUCACAACAAAACUACAAUUUUAUCCACUUUAUUAAUUGAACUCACAUGGGAGACAACGGCGUAUAGUGGUAGGGUGCUGUAACCACAAAGAACUUGGCAGAUUACACUGAAAGAAGUAAAAUGUAAUGAGUAUGUUUUUAAGAUGUCUCAAUAAGUUGUUGAUGCCAUUGUGAUUUCUGUUGUACCUUAUGACAACUCGAGUAAUAACAUAUGCUGGUUUCCCCAUGAUGCAUGAUUUAAAACCAUAUGUUACCUGCAACAUUGAUAAAUGCAAGGGUUAGUCCUACUUGUAUUCAUUAGAUUCCUAUUUGAAACUAUCAAAUCCAUAACUUAUAUUCUAUGUAAUUUCACGAUUCUUAUCGUACUCUCCAAUACUUCAUGUUAAAUUAGGUUGUGGGUACAACAAGCUUACUUAUUGUUCUUACCAAGAGCCAGAAGAAAAAUGCAAUUUCAAAUGCAUUUUGAAAUAGGACGAUGUGGAUCAACAGAAGGACUAAUUUAGGCCGAUGGAACCAAAAGAAGUUAUCUGAAGGAGAAACUACUAAAUCCCCUCGAAUAGCCGUAUCCUUCUGGGCAACCUCAUAAGCCAAUUCCGUUAUUAUGUGCUCCAUCUUACUUCCUACCACAAGUAACAUCUGCCAAACACAAAUACAAUAAGUUGAUGUCACGAGUCUGCCCUUUUUUGGAUCAUGCUUAGUUUGAAAGAUCAUUGUAGAAGUCAUAUGAAGGCAUAUAAUUAGUAUUUAGUCCUUAAAACAUGCAUACAUGUAGUAGAAAUUUCUUUUAUGUGUUUUUGUAUAGAUAGUAACUCAUGUUUACUUACAAUGAAUGGAACCAAGGUAAUCCAAAUGUAGACAUACCACCCUACAAUAACGGUACGACAAGAGUCGGGUUACUUUUCACAUAAAAAAUUGUCUAGUGAGGGUUAGUCAAAAUAAAAUAAGUAAAUAAAUAAAUAUAUUUUUGUGACAAUUUAACAAAAGAAGAGUUAUACAAGUGGAUCAAAACUUGUGACCUCUAGUGAUACAUACCUUCAACAUUCAAUAGUAGGAAUAUCAUCAGCAUGGCCCAAAGGUACCAACUACAUAAGCAUAACAUGGACAUCAAUUUGCUAUUUUCUCUAUAGGUAAUUGAUCUAUACAUAGCAUAUGCUUUAGAAAAAAAUUGGGUAAUGCAUUUUGUAAUAGUAGCAUUGAGCACUUACCUAAUACCAACAACUUUCUUAAAAUCAACCUCCAAAGCUCUGAUCAUGUAACUAUAAAAGUUGAAUUUUGGUGUCCCCUUACAAUGUUUCUGUGAAAAGGAAUGAAGCAUGUAUAUAUAUAAGUUUCCUCCACUAAUAGUGUAUACCCGAAAACAUACACGUGACUUCUAUAUAUCGAUUAAAAUGUAGGUUGAUUACCAUGAUGAAACCAAGUCUCAUUGUUGUGUAGUCCUCCUCAGUGACGGAUCCAUAAAAUUGUUUGAAGAAGGAACGCUAAAAAGACGAUGACUUAUCUUAUAGCCCAAUUGCAAAAUAGAGAAAUAAGGCAAUAUAUAUGUUUUGAUCCUUAUAAAAACACAAGAAAAAGAAAGUAUACCAUCCAACCAAAUAUCCUCGACCGCUUUCUAUGACCUUUAAAGUGGUCUUGAAUAAAUUUGAAUUCUCGAAUGUGCUUGAUCAUUUGAGGGGCUGCAAGUUAGGACCCAACAUUAGUAAACAAAAAAUGUAACACAACUUCAUACAACUGAAGAAAACUUGUGAACUCAUCAUUAGCCAAACAAGGAAAGGAAACUAUUUGCAUCAUAUAUACAUACCACCGUCAUCACUUUCUUGUAUCUUGGUCUCCCAAUGUCGCCAAUUUCUCGUCUGCACAACAAUUAACAUAGUAGUUAGAAAAGCUAUGGUAGACGAAUUACUCGUUACUAACAAAAAUAUAGUCAGAGUUUUAGUUAGUACCUGUGCAAUUCCUAGAAGUACUGUAAUAGCACUGAGAAGGAAAUGGGUGACCGCCAACACGAAGAUAAAUAUGUGUAGUUGAUGAAUAGCUUCAGAUGAAAGUAAUGGAACUUUGUCCUGCAUGCCAAAUGGCGUCAAAUGAAUCAUUGGAUAAGAACAAGGUGGAACGGGUCAAAGACGAAAAACAAUAGAUCGACGAAGACAGAAGAAAAAGGAAAAGUAGAGUAUCACAAAUAAAAUCGAGAACCGACAAAAUGGUUGUGUGCAUCAUCUGCAGAGGUCAAGCCGUCAAGGGUAAUCCUCCUUUUCAAGAAAAAUAUCACAAAACAAAAUCAAGCACUUCUGAUGCCUUGAGCUGUACCUUCUUGAGGCAGUAUUCGUCGUCGGAGGAGGCUCCUCCAGCCAGGAGGCGCCUCCCCCCACCCAACACGCCGGUGAACACAGCGCCACCGAGGUGGUCCGUCUCGUGCAGCGGCGGCUUGCAGGGCUGCAGGUGGAGCAUGGUGCUCGGGCUGACGCACAGCUUCCCAAUGGGCCCCUGGAAGACGGUGAGCAGCAGCGAGAUGAACCCCAGCAGCAUCAGCUCCUCCUUCACCUUGAGCAGGGCCUCGUACAUCGGCUUCUUGCGACUCCUUAUCAGCCUCUGCAUGCAAACGUGCGUGCCCAAACGUUCAGCUGAUGGCCGAUUGCUUCGACAGAUACGGCAGGCAGCUUCGUGGUCUCUCAUGGUGGAUGUACGCACAUACCUUGCCUAGGCGGUGGAGCAAGCGCUCGAAGAGCAGGGAGAUGAUGAUCAUGACGGAGCAGACCAACGCCACGAUCCAUGUCGGCGUGAACUCGAGCGGCUUGGCCUUCCCUUCACCGCCGGCCAUGGCGCCCCAAACGUACUCGUCAAGAACCAAGCCCACGCCGACGCCCCUUGUCGUAAGAAUGAAGUGGCAAGCAAGACUAUUCUUGAUACAUUUAUAUAGCUACAAGAGACGAAACUACUCAGUUACAUGGUCAUCAGUUAUCACGCAUGACAAUAUUGACUUGGCACGAUCAGAACCCUGAAUUAUAUUCCAAGCUACAUGUACACACAGGAAAACAAGAAACAACGCGUUACCUUCCUAAAUACUACUAGUAUUCAUUCUCGAAAAAUACUACCACUAGUAUUCCGCUAGCAUAUGUCCCAUGUGACCAUUUUUUUUCUUUUUUGUGCUGCAGUCUACGGUCCACCGCACUACUUUUUUUUUGCGAUGACCACCACACUACUAUUAACCAACGGGAACUGGAAACUGGAAUAAUAGUCUGUUUUGGGGUGUUUCGUAUGAUGUCCCCAACUGCCUGAACGAAAUUUGUACUUUGAUUAGAUCUGGUCGUUGUUUGGUAAAUUUGUUGUCAAAAUUCCCUUGAUGCAAUGUGGCUUUUGGUAACUUUCAUGUAAUGCCGCUCACAACGGCGAUGAUCCACUUUUCUUUCAAAUUUGUAGUUGCCGCUAACAGUGACAAGGCCAUGGAUCUGAAAUAUUCGAAUUUGUAGUCAUUGCUCCGUUUUUUCUUUCAAAACACAAUGGUUAAAAAGAAUUCUAGACCUAGCUGGCCCAGGUGGUACCGGUCAAAAGCACAUCUAUUAUUUUAGCCUAAUCUGUAAGUAGAGAAACCACUGAUAUGUAUAUUUUUUAUUUUCUGAGAAAACACUAUUGCAAUAUCAUUCUUGGUUAAAAUAUACUAGUAUAUUUGCAUUCCCGGACAAAGCAGAAAACCGUGGUUUCAGAUUGGAUCUGCGACGCGGCGUCAGCGAAAUCAAAGUCGCGGCCGUCAACGUCGGAUGGUGGAAGUCCAAAGCGUUUGGUUUGCGUCCAGUUCAACAGUCCAGGUGCAGGUCCUGGCCUAGUGCGGUGACCCAGCUCCACCAAGUGGGCUUCCUGACAGCAGCAUGCAUUUCGAAAUACACUAGGGCGUGUUUGGUAGCUUUCCCGAGCGGCUUAGCUCAGCCUGUCUUAACGGAGGCUGGUUGAGAAAAAACGAGAAAACAUUAACACAUGCACUUCAUUUGGUUGCCUACAAUGAGGCUGCUUGCAUUAGAGGAUUGCUUUAGGCAUAUUAUUUGGUUGUCUGCAUUGGCUCGGCGAAUGCAACUACAUCAUGUUUGGUUGCCUGCACCGGAGAUGAAUAAGAUUAAUAGCUACCCAUAACACACUGCAGAGGCCGGGGGUGAUUCCUCCUUUUCUAAAAAAAAAACCAUAACACACACAGGGCCAUGGCGACUGGCGAACGAUGGCAAGGACGCAAUGCUGUCCAAGUCAGUUUUCUGUUUGUUUGUUUCUAGUCUAGUACUCCAUUCGUUCCUAAAUAUAAGCCUUUUUAGAGAUUUUAAUGCAGACUACAUGCAUACAAAACAAAAUGAGUGAAUCUACAUUUUAAACUAGGGUUAUAUACAUCCAUAUAUUGUCGGUAUUGAAAUCUUUAAAAGAUCUUAUAUUUAGGAACAGAGGGAGUAGCUUAAUAGCCUCGGCCACGGUUGUUGAUGGUAUGCUGCUAAUGUGUGAACAAAGACCAGAAGAUACGUCCUGGUUUCACACGGUGAAUCAAGUAGCAACUCAUUCUUCGCCCUAGAAGGAAAUAAGAUUUAUCGUUGGCGCGUCAAGCUAACCUCUACAGGCGAGGCAAUAAGGUUUUUUGGAAGCGCAAUUUUAUGACUGCUUGCUGUACAUCCAAUAUUCUUCACUGCGAUAAGCAUGGGUGGAGCUUCACCAAACCGGCACUGUGACUUUUCGAUGACACCAAUAAACCCUUGGCGAGUUCUAGGAGAGAACACAUAGCAUGAUCCGCCUGCUCUUAGAGCUAAAUAAUUUGCUACGAUGAUACUCCCUAAUCAGAUAAUCUUGGAUGAGUUAACUAUCGCCUUCAUUUUCAGACGCAAAAUACCAAUACUGGCUAGACUAACUUGGUCUUGAAUUUUCGUGUAGCCAAGGCCCGUCUUUACCUACAAAGCGUGUGCUUUGAAAAUUGAGAUGGACUGGUCGAUCACCAUCAACUACCAUGCAUGCACCUAGCUGGAUUUGGAUAUAUAUGGGUGAGGGUGCCUGGUGCGGGUUCGCCUGUAAUAGAGAGCUGGUGAGGGUGGAUCUAGUGCGGUAGGUAGAAUUGCAACUAGGGCAUGCAGCCACAAAUGGUUGUUAAUUGCCCAUUUGCAUGCCCUAGUUGCACACGACGACGACGUCCAUGGUUGUUGACUGAUAGCUAGCUACAUAUAAGACCAUUUCGAGAAGCAGCUACACAAAUGAUUGUAAGUGCCUUGAGUGCACAUUUCGUGGAUGGCUAACUGACGACCAUAUUAAUGUGAGCGUGCAUAUAUAUAGUAGCCGUCGAAACACGACUGGAAGGCGGCCAGUCUAGUCAACCGAGCUCUCUACCCGCUUCUUUGGACACGAGGACAUGGCUUUGGAAGAUGCAUGCAUGCCAAUCAGACAACCAACCGAAGGCACACGGCAAAUUGGUCCCUCUGCUUCGUCAGUUAUGACGUGAUGAUCGUAGUUCAAAUCUUAGGCAGGAUGGUUCCCGUGCAUCAUUCGAUUGGACAUGCAUAUAGAUCACGCACUCACCAUAUCACACAUGCCUGUCCCAUGAACGUGACGCUUGGGGCAUGUACAGUAACUGAUAAAGCAUGUUAGCAAAAUCACAUAAGCAACAAGAUCGAUUAGCACAAAAAAAAACA
RNAcentral lists this long non-coding RNA (20764 nucleotides) under Triticum aestivum (bread wheat). Its description in RNAcentral is "long non-coding RNA (TAES_LNC020087)". Lineage: Eukaryota; Viridiplantae; Streptophyta; Magnoliopsida; Poales; Poaceae. The record is from RNAcentral.